GCAAGGGAAGUUAAUCAAUGAGAUUAUGAGGGCGCCGAAUUUUCUGCGCUGACGAGAAUAGAGCACAACAGAAGUCGCUCUGCCAAAAAUUCAAAUUUCCAGUUUCUUGGCCACCCUCCAACUGCAAUAAGAUUUGCCGACAUUCUUCUAUUCUAUAUUCUAAAUACAACAUAAACUAACUCAACCUAAGCUAACUAUGCCACCUUUGACUUACAGUUUAUUAAUCCUUUCAUCUGGAUCUGGGACACGAGCGUUGAGUCAAUAUAUUACUAUUUUUUAAUACCAAUUAUCAUAAAGUAAAAAAAAACAUAAAAGUAUAUAGUAAUUGUUGAUGCAAUUUUUUUAACAGUAACUAUUUUUUUUCAGAAUUUCAACUAUAUCAAGCUUUGAGGGUGUCCAAUCACGUGGUUUCCUGUCAUUAAUUAUUCUGCAAAAAAAAAUAAUAAUAAUUGUCAAAGGGUGCUAGGGUUAACAACAAUAACUCUUUGGUGCUCUAGUUAACUCUUUGUACUUAAUUUUUAGAUAGAGAGAGCUUAGAGGGAAGUGGAAAAUUUUUUUGUAUUCUAGUGCUCUAGUUAACUCUUUUUAUAUCUUACCUCAAAAUGUAGGGGUCGUAGCCUUUAUAUAGACAACUUGAAGCAUUGAGGUAGAGGAGUUAUCAUGACACGACAAGUGUCCACAAAACCCAUGCAUAAUGGCACGUAUAAAUAUGUGUGAAUACUUGUUUCUUGACUAGUAUUUUUGGACACUUGUCUUGAUUUUUUGUUGUUUUGAUUUUUGGUUCAUGACUUUUAAUGGGUUUGGGCUUGACUUUGGCCCUUAUAUUGGUUCCUCAUUGAGAGAAUUGAUUUAGUAUCAUAUUGCUUAUAAGUGAACUUUUGCAAAAGUCUUUACCCGUAGGCACUUAAAAUAAUUUCUACUGCACUUAAAAUAAUUUCUAAGUAACUAGCCUUAGUCCAUUUUUGUAUAGAAUGGUCCUAGGGAAUAUUUUUAACAAGAUUUUUCCAUAAGCGUAUUUGUAAAAUUUUGCCCAUAGGCACUUAAAAUGUUUGCCCCUAGCACUUUACGUCAAGUGUUUGUUUGCCCAUAGACUCAUUCGUAAUAUGUUUGUUUGCCCAUACACUCAUCGCAUAGAAGGUAUGUUUGUUCAUAUGCUUAUUCCGUAGAAUAUUUGUUGGCUCAUAGGCUCAUUUCGUUGAUGCCUAUAGGCGAAUUUUGCAUAAUGUUUUUUGGCCUGUAAGCUCAUCUAUAAAAUGUAUAUUUGCCAGUAAGCUCAUUUCGUAAAAUGUAAUUUUUCCCAAUAGGUACAAUCCAUAAAAUGUAUUUUUGGCCCAUAAGCUCAUUUGAUAAAAUGUUUGUUUGCUCGUGGUUCAUUCCAUAGAAUGCUUGUUUGUCAAUAUGCCUAUUUUGUAGAAUAUUUGUUGGCUUGCAAGCUCAUUUUGUAGAAUUUAUGUACCCAUAGGCUCUUUAUGUAAAUUGUUUCUAUAUACAUAGGUCAAUCUUGCGGGGAAUAGAACUAGGUCAUUUUUUUCAAAUCAUACAAUUAGGUAUUUUGUUAGUUCUUGCCUUUAGGCAAUUUAAAUAGAAUAUUUUCUAAAUACCUAGGUCAUUCUGGUAGACAAUAGCCGAGGUAAUCACUCCCUUAGGCAAUUUAAAUAGAAUACUUUCUAAGUACCUAGUUCAUUCUUAUGGACAAUCGACCUGGGUCAUUUUAUGUAGAAAGUUUUUGUUGAGUCUAUCUUUUUAUGGACUUUUGGGCUUUUUAUAAUUUGGUAUAGUAGAGAACCCCCAAGUCUCACUUUUCAAAUUUGAGAAGCAAGACUUUCUUUUCUUUUGUUUUCUUUUAGGGUUUAUUGGGUUUUUCCUUUUAUGGAUUGAAUUUCAAAAUAAAAAAAUUCUCUAAAGCAUCCAUCCUCUUAAAAUCAAUCUGUAACCAAUCUUAAAUAGCUUACUGACAGCCCUAUAGAAUUUAUCUUAACAAUUUUUAAAAUUCGUAAAGAGAGGGAGAGAGACAGAAAGUACCUCUUUUGAAAAAGACUUUUGAUUUUCUAAAGUGUGGGUGAUAAUUUCUACUAUAAAAACUCUUUGACCACUCACUAGGGAAGUGUUCAAUUUCCUUCUUUUGCCCUAUUUUUCUUCUAUCUUCUUAUCUUCUCUGAAUCAACAUUUGUUCUUUUGUUGGCUCUUUCUUGUAUAGCUGAAAUCGUUUCACUGAAGGACAUCACUCAAAAUUAAGUUGCUUCAAAAGAUAAGCAAUUUUAUAGAAAAGUGCUCUAGGCAAUCCCUGUAGAUACUUGCCCUUAGGCAUUUUGAAAUAUUUUGUCGAUACUUGCCUUUAACCAAUUUUUUAAAGACACCCUCGGGAAUUUUUUCCUUAGAAUAUUUUCAAGGAUUUGUCCCUUAAUUUUCUUGUAAAAAAUAGGCCUGAAGGACUUGGUGAAUUAAUAAUUGUCCUAAGGCAUUUUGUCAAGAUAUAGCCUUAGGUGUUUUGUCAAAACACUCCGUUAGGCCUAUUCUUAAGACAUACCUUUAAGCUUAUUAGUCGACUAUUACCUUUAGGCGUUUUAAUCAACAUCCAUGCAUAAGCCACUUUAGUCACAUUCACUCUUAGUCAUUUUGUUCAAAAAAUGCCUUAGUUAGCGCCUGCAUUUAGGUAUUUUAGUCAAUAUCUACCCUUAGUCGCCUUAGUAAGCACCUCAUUUGACUUUAAAUGUUUUAUUUACAAUAUUUUCCUAGUAUUAAUUAGGUCAAUCUUUUAAAAAGCAUACCUAAAUAAUUUUUUUAGAAUUGUAACCUUUUUGUUUUGUCGAAGACUAGCCUUUGUGGGCAUUUUUACUUAGAUUUUCCAAGUAUUUAGGUGAUUCUUUCUAAAGAGUAGACCUAAGCCAUUUUUUAUAGAAUUAAUUUUAGCUGUUUGUUGAAGACUUGCCCUUUGGGUAUUUUGUUUAAAAGUACUUUCAAGUACUUAGGUUAUUCUUUGCAAAUAAUGGGCCUGAGUCAUUCUUUAUAAAAUUAUAUCUUUCGCUCUUUGUCAAAGACUCGUUCUUUAGGCAUUUCAACUAAAAGUAUAUUCUUAGCAGUAAGGUAAUUCUUUGCAAAGAAUGGACUUGGUCAUUCUUUGUAGAAUUACACAUUUGGUGCCUUUUUGAAGACUCCCCUUUGGGUAUUUCACUAAGAAGUAUUUUCGUAGUACCUAGGUUAUUCUUUUUAGAAUUAUGCAUUUUGACAAUUUUUCUAAGACUUGCCUUUUGGACAUUUUAUUUAGAAAUAUUUUCUAAGUACCUGGAUCAUUCUUUUCAAAUAAUGUAUCUAAGCCAUUCUUUACAGAAUUAUGCCUUUAGCUAUUUGUCGAAGAUUUAUGCUCUGAGCAUUUUACUUAUAAAUAUUUCUUAAGUGUCUAGGUUAUUCCUUGUAAAGAAUGUAUCUAAGUCUUUUCUGUUGAAUCAAAGCCUUAGGUGUUUUGUCAUAUUUUACCUUUCUAGACACCUUACGAACAAUGUUUUUUUAACUUCUAAGGUCAUUCUUAUAGAGAAUGGACCUAGGUCAUUUUUGCAUAAUACGCUCGUAGGUUUUCUAAUACUUGCCCUUCAACAAUUUACUUAAAAUCUUCUAAAGAAUGGACCUAAGUCAUUUUGUGUAAUCACGCGCUUAAGCCCUUUAGCUAACAUCCAUGGUCCACCUUUUUCGUGCUUUAGUCAAAGUUUACAUUUAGGGUUUUUUUUUUAGCAUUCAUCCGCAUGCGCUUUUGUUAACACCUGUACUUAGGUGUUUUAAUCAACAUCCAUCUUAGGUACUUCAAUUAGCACCUGCACUUAAGUGUUUUAAUCAACAUUCACUCUUAGGUUCUUUAGGCAAUCACUUGCCUUAAGAUGUUUUGACAUCCACCUUUAGGUGAUUUAGAUGUUUUACUUAGAAUUCUUUCUAAGUAUCUAGGUCAUUAUUGUAGUGUUAUGCCUUUGGUGUUUCAUCAAAGACUUGUAUUUUGGCGUCUUAUUUAGAAUUAUUUCUAAUUAUCUAAGCAAGUCUUAUAAAGAAUGGACCUAUGUCAUUUUUGUAGAAUUACAUGUUGGUGCAUUUUUUCAAAGACUCACCUUUUAGGUAUUUAAAAAAAUUUUCUAACUGCUUAGGUCACUCUUUAUAAUGAAUGCACCUAGGUCAUUUUUUACCGUUAUUAACUUAGCAUUUCGUAAAAGAUUUAUGCUUUUAGGUGCUUUACUUAGAAUAUUUUCUAACUACCUAUCUCUUGUAAAGAAUGGAUGUAGAUAAUCUUUUUUAAGAAUCACACCAUUGGCUUCUUUUUGGAAAACUUGUUUUCUUCUUGUUUUUGCUUAAAAAUAUUUUCUAAAUAUCAAGAUUAUUUUUGUAAAGAAUGGAACUAGGCCAAUUUUAUUAAUUACGCCCUUGGCGUUAUGUCAAAGACUCCAUUAUUAGGCGUUUUUGUUUAAAAAUAUUUUCUAAAUACCUAAGUCAUAUUUUUUAAGAAUGGACUAUGGUUAUUUUUGUGAAGAAUGAACUUAGAUUAUUUUUGGUGAAUUAUGCCCUUGGCAUUUUGUCGACUACUCACCAUUUGUCAUCUCACUUAGAAUAUGUUUUUAGUACUUAAGUCACUGUCAUGAAGAAUAGACCUAGGUUAUAUUUUGUGUAGUUACACCUUUCCUUCUGUUAAGUUCAUUAUUUAUAGAGUUGGCAUCAUAUGGCAAGUCUAGUUAAAUUAGAAUUUUAUUUAUUGCAUAUCUUGUAAUAGGGAUUAAUUUAUUAAUUCCUUAAUUUAGUGAGAUUCCAAUAUAUUAGGAAUAUUUGUUUCCUAAUUUAAUUAGAUGUCUAAUUUAGAAAGUCUAUUAAUGGUGGGAUUUUAUAAUUGGCGCAUGAAAUCUAUGUAGAACAAGAAGUUGAUUUUUUUAUUUAUCUUCUCUUUCAUCUCUGUGGAGAGUCUAUGUGAAUCUUAGAUCACUAGACAUUGAAGAAUUGUUAUUGAUCACUUUAUGAAGUGUCUUGAGAAUCGUGGAUCAAGAGGGGUAGCAAUUAUUCAAGAGAAACAGAUUCAGUCUAAGGUUGAGUAAAUUGUAUGGUGAUAAACUGUAAGUGAGAGUCUUAAGUUUAAUAAAUUCAUAGGUUGUAACAUCUCAACUUAGUGAAUUACUUUUCAUCUGGGCGUAGCCUCGUGAAUAUAGGAUUGAUUAAUCUGAACUACUUAAAAACUCCGUUUCAUUUAUUUUCUGUAAUUUAUUGUAUUUCUAGAAAAUUAAUUUUUUUAUGCGGAUGAAUAGUAACUGUGAACAGUAAUCAUGAACAGUAGCGGUAAACAGUAUUUCUGAAAAUUAAUUAAGUUGUUAAUUUUUUUAAUUACCUACAUCUAUUUGCGAUACAUCUAAAUUCCUUUCUCUUUUUUUCUUUAAGACUCUUUUUUUAAGUGUCUUUUUAGAAAAUAAAUAUUUUAAAAUAUCUAUACCACUCUUUGUAAAAAAAAUAGACCCACACCAUUUUUGUAGUUACUUCCUUAGUGCUUUAUUGAGGACUCGCUAUUCUACCAUUUAGUUAAAAAAGAAAAGAAAAGAAAACUUCCAAGCACCUAGAUCAUCUUAUAAAGAAUGGACCUAGACCAUUAUAUAUAUAGAUUUACACCAUUGGCAUUUUGCGGAAGACAUACCUUUUGGGCAUUUUAACUAGGUCACUGUCGUAAAAAAUGCACCGAAGUCAUUUUUCAUAGAUCUAUGCCCUUGGCAUUUUUUUGAAGACACGCCAUUUGAGUGUUUUACUUAGAAGUUUUUUCUAAGAACCUAGGUUAGAAUGGACAUAUGUCAUUUUUUGUAUGGUUAUACCAUUGGCAUUUUCUCUAAGAUUGGUCUUUUGGGCAUUUUACUUAAAAAAUAAAAUAGUUUCUAAGCAUCUAGGCCCUCUUGUAAAGAAUGGACUUACAUCAUUUUUUUUAGAUCUAUGUCCGAGGCAUUUUUUUGAGUACAUGCCUUUUGGUUGUUUCACAUAGAAAUUUUUUUCUAAACAUGUAAGUCACUUUUGUAAAGAAUAGACCUGGGUUAAUUUUUUUUAUAGAUUUAUCUCCUAGUCAUUUUUUUCGAAGACAUGCCAUUUCAACAUUUUCCUUAGAAAUUUUCUCUAAACACCUAGGUCCCUAUUGUAAAGAAUGAACAUAGGUUAUUUUUUUACAUAGAUUACGUCCUUGGCGUUUUCUCCAAGAUCACCUUUUGGGCAUUUUACUUAAAAAAUUCUAGGUCACUCUUAUAAAGAAUGAAACUAGGUCUGUUUUUUAAUAUAUAUUUAUACCUUUGCGUUUUGUCGAAGACAUACCUUUUAGGCAUUUUACUGAAAAAGUUUUUUUGGGCAUUUUAUUUAGAAUUUUUUCUAAGGAUCUAAGCUACUCUUAUAAAGAAUGGACCUAUGUCAUUUUUAUAGAUUUAUGCCCUUGAUGUUUUGUUCAAGAGACGCCAUUUUUCCAAUUUACUUAUAAAUUUUUUCAAGCACUUGAGUUGCUAUUUUAAAGAAUGGACCUAGGUCAUUUUUUGUAUAUUAUGCCCUUGGCCUUUUGUCCAAGAUUCACCUUUUGAGCAUUUUACUUAUAAAAUAAAUAUUUUCUAAGCACCUAGCUCACUCUUGGAAGAAUGGAUUGAGAUCAUUUUUUUUUUAUAGAUUUACUCCUUGGCAUUUUAUCGAAGACAAGCCUUUGGGUGUUUUACAUAGAAAUUUUUUUCUAAGCACCUAGGUCACUCUUGUAAAGAAUAAACUUAACUCUUUUUUUUUUUAAUAAGUUUACACCCUUGGCGUGUUGUCGAAAGUACACCAUUUGGGAAUUUUACUUUGAAAAUUUUCUACUAGCUUUCUAUUACAAGGAGUGGACCUAGCCUUUUUUUUUAUUUAUAGGUUCAUAUACUUGAUAAAUUGUCAAAGACACACCAUUUGGGCAUUUUAUGUAGGUUUAAACAUCCAGGUUAUAUUAUAAAUAAUGGACCUAGGUGGUAUUUGUUUUUAAUGCAUUUAUGCCUUGGCUUUUGCGAAGACAUGUUAUUUGGGCAUUUUACUAAGAAAUUUUUUUCUAAGCAUCUAGGUCACUAUUUAACAAAAUGAAUAUUCUUUUACUUAGAAAUUUUUUCAAGCACCUAGUUAACUAUUGUAAAAAAUGGACCUAUGUCAUAUAAACAAAAUGGAUAUCAUUUUACUUAGAAAUAUUUCCAAACACCCUAGUUAACUAUUGUAAAAAAUGGAUCAGUACCAUUUUUUUUUUAUAGAUUUACGCCCUUGUCAUUUUGCCGAAGACACAUGUUUUGGGUAUUUUGCUUAGAAAUUUUCUCUAAGCACCUAGCUCUCAUAAAAAAUGGACAUAGGACCUUUUUAUAGAUUUAUGCCCUUGGCAUUUUGAUGAAGACACACCAUUUAGGUGCUUUAAUUAGAUUUUUUUAAGCGCAAAGGUCAAUAUUUUAAAGUAUGAUCAAAGUCAUUUUUUUUUUCAGAUUUAAGGUUUUACUAUUUUCUUUAAUACAUGCCUUUUAGGCUCUUUAUAUAGAAAUCCUUUCUAACCACCUAGGUCAAUUUUAUCAAGAAUAGACCUAGGACUUUUUUUUUAAUAAAAUUUUGCCUUGGUGUUUUACUUAAAAAUAUACUUAGAAAUAUUUUCUAAGUAUUUAGGUCAUUCUUUAUAAAAAAAAUGGACCUAGGUCAUUUUGCAUAAUGAGUUACACAUCAUCGUUUAGUUGAUUAUUGUAUUUCAAGUCUCACCUAGAAUAUUUUCUAUGUACCUAAGUCACAAUUUGUAGAUAAUAGACCUAGUCAUUUUUGUACAAUAAAUUACAUCUUGCCAUUUUGUCGAUGAAUUGCCAUUUGACGUCUUGUUGAUGACUCACCAUUUGGUGUCUUACUUAGAAUAUUUUCGAAGUGCCUAGCACAUCAUUUGUAAAGAGUAGACGAAAGUAAUUUUUUGUAGUGUCACACCCUUAGCAUUCUAUUUUACUUUAAAAUAUUUUUGAAGUACCUAAAUCACUUUUGUAAAGAAUGGAAAUAGGUCAUCUUUUGUAAAGUUACGCCCUCACUAUUCUAUUAAAAACUUGCCCUUUAGGCACUUGAUGUAAAAAUUAUUCUAAAUUACUAGGUUACUCUUUGUAAAGAAUUGACUUAUUUUAUUCUAUUUUUGUCAAUACUUGCCUUUAGCCACUUAGAUAAUAUUAUAGGCACCUAGGUCACCUUUAUAGAGAAAUGAUCAAGGUUUCUUUAUAGAUUCAUGUCAUUGGGCAUUCUAUCAAUACAUGCCAUUACACACUUCAUUGAGAUACGCUUAUAAGCAUUUUGUCAAGACUUACCACCCUUGGGCAUUUUAUCAAUACACAUCCUUGGGCCAAUGGUAGAGUUGCAACUAAGCAUAACAAUGAGGAUAAUGAAUCCCCUAGUUGUUACUUGACUCCACGGAUAAAAAAAUUAAGUUUUAUUAAAAGUCAAUAUAUGCAAUUCGCAGCCAUUAACCCUUGUCAUUAGAUAUAGAUCUCUACAUCCUUUGAACUUUCAUCAUUAGUUACAAUAUUAGGGUAUUUAUAAUUAUUGUCCACAAUCAAGAUAAACCAUUUUGGCCUUUUGUUCGUUCCUGACAGACAACGUCAAUUGUUGAUGCAAAUUUUUACAUAAUAAAUAGUAAUUAUUUUUGUUCUAGAAUUUCUUAUAUAUCAAAUCUUGUGGCCCAUUUUCUUUUUGAGGUGAGGAUCUCUAAUUACAUGGCUUCUUUUGGUGAAUUAUUCUACCAAAAAAAAAAUGUCAAUGGGUACCAGGGUUGUCGGCGAUAGCCCUACAAAGCCCAAGUUUGUGUUUUGUACUCAAUUUCAAUAGAGAGAAUGUUUGAAGGGAAGUAAACAUUAUUUUGGUACUCAUUUUAUGUCUUACCUCCAAAUAUAGGAGGUCUUAGCCUUUAUAGAGACAACUUGAAGCACUAAGGUGGACGACGUAUCAUGACAUGUGAGGUUGCUAUCGUGACAAGUGUCCAUAAAGCCCUUGCAUAAUAACACCUAUCAAUAUAUGUCAAUACUUGUUUAUGACAAUUAUUGUUUGGAAACUUGUCUUGAAUUUUGGCUCUUGACUUUUAAUAGGCUUGGGCUUGAAUUUGGCCCUGAUAUUGAUUCUUCAUUAAAAGGAUUGAUUUAGUGUCAUAUUGCCCAUAAGUGAACUUUUUGCAAAGUCUUUUCCCAUGGCACUUAGAAUAUUUUCAAGUAAUUGGCAUUAGUCUAUUCUUGUAGAGAAUGGCCCUAGGGCAUUUUUUAAUAAAUUUUGCGCGUAGGCAUAUUUGUAUAGUUUUGUUUAUAAGUACUUUACAUAAAGUUUUUAUUUACCUGUAAGCUCAUUCUAUAAAAUAUUUGUUUCACCUAGACUUAUUUCAUAGAAAGUAUAUUUACGAUGUAGGCGCAUCCCGUAAAUGUACUCUUAGCUCGUAGGCUGAUUCCGUAGAAUUGUUUUGGCUUAUAGGGUUAUUCCAUAGAAUAUUCUUUUGCUCGUAUGCGAAUUGAACAAAAUUUUUGUUGGCCCAUAGGCUCAUACGUUAGACUGUUGGCUUAUUCAUAAAAUGUAUGUUUGUCCAUAGGAGUCCAUACAAUAUAUUUUUGGCCGGUAAGCUCAUUCCGUAAAAUAUUUGUUUACCCAUUGUCACAUUUUAUAGAACAUUGAAUGGCCCAUAGGCUCAUUUCAUAGAAUUUAUGUUUGACCAUAGGAUCUUUACAUAAAUUAUUUCAUGUGUACCUAGGUCUAUUCUCUGCAAGAAUGAUGCACUAAUGUGUUUUUGUAGAUUGUCAACGUUACCCAAUUUACUUAGAAUACUUUCUAAGUACUCAAGUCAUUCCUGUAGACAAUAGACCUAGAUCAUUUUUGUAUAAUCACGCCCUUAAGGCAUUUAUCUAUUUUUUUGCUUAGGCAAUUUAAAUAAAAUACUUCCUUGGUUUGGUAAAAUAUGGGGUUGGGUCGGGCUUUUCCAAGCCCAGGCCCAAGCCCAUAUUAUUGACAAUAAGCCCAAGCUCUUCAAAAGGAUAGGCUGCGCUUGGGCCGAGCCUAGGCUUUUUUUUAUUAAAUAUGAAAUAAUUUUUUAAUAAAUUAAUAAAUAUUUAAAUUAAAGAUAACUAUCCGAUACAUAAUAAAAUAAUAAUCCAAUAUAAAAGAUAUUAAUAACACAACAUAAUAAAUCACAAAUACUAAUAUAAAAAAUAUUAAUUUAAUAUUUUGAGUUUUUUCUUUUUUAUUUAAAUUUAAUUUAUCUAGUAUUUGUGACUAUAAGAGUUUAUUAUUAUACUAGGUUUUAGUAGGUUUCGAUUAUAUUGGGCAUUAAUAUAUUAGACUGCAUAGACAAACUAUGUAGUCUCCUAGGGCCCCUAUUAUAUGAAGACCCUUUUUUUUGGGUAAUUCUCUAAUAGUACUUGAAUUAAUCAAUUUUUUAAGUUAGGCAUUGUGGGAAAGCUUAUUUUUUAGACCUAUCUAUAAUAAAUAAUUAUUCCACAAUUAAGAUUGUUUUAUAUAGAUUCUAUAGAUUGACAACCUUAAUGUUAAAGAACUAUAAGUCAUAAUAUUGGCUAACCGUUAAUUCAUUCAUUAUUAUUUUUUCAAUAAAAAAUUAAAUUAUUUAUCUUUAUGAUUUAAAAAAGGAACUUAAUUAUUUAAUAUUAAAAGUUUAUUGUGCUCUUCUCUACAAAGAAAAUUAUUAUAAAACUAUUAGCUCACUUUUGAAGUGAAAAAAAAAGUUUAUUGAAAUAAUGGUUAUAAUGGAUUAAAAAGAGAUCUUCUUCACUAUUUUUUUUUUUGGGAAUUUCUUAGUUUCCUAUUGAUCAUUGUUGAAAUUCAUGAUAUAAUUAGGGAUUGAUCCAAUUAACUUUUUUAUAUUUAUUUGAGUGUUGAAGUUGCUAAAUGUAAGGAAAUCUUAUAUAAAAAUUUCACCUAAGGCCCGUAAUACUCUAGAACUGACCCUAUUGGGCUAAUUGUAGGGAUGGCAAAGGGGAGAGGAGGAGAGGGGAUCGACAUCCAUGUAUCCAUCCCCAAUAUCUACAUAUGUCUUUGUCCCCUCCCCGUCUCCAUCAUAAUUGCUUGAGGGAAUCCCCGUCCCCUUCCCAAAUAAUAAUAGGGGAUCCCCGAGAGUCCCUGAUCCCCAAAAACCUUAUACGUUUUUUGUUUUUUAUUUUAAUUUAAUUAUAUUAAAUAAAAUUAAAUAAAAGCAGAGUUAAGGCAGUUGCUGGCUGUUGUUGAAAGUUAGAAAUUAUGUUUAUGAUUUUGCUUUAACUUUUUUUUAUUAGAUAAAAGUUUAAAAUAUUUAAUGAAUAUUAUAUUUAAAAACUUUUGGGUCAAUAGGAUCUUGUCUAGCCUUUUUAAUGUCCUAAAUAGAAAUUUAAGACUACAACUAGUCAACUAGGCCCAAAAGUUUAAUAAUAUAAAUAUUUUGAUAUUUGUUAUUUAUAUCAAUAUUUAAUAUUUUACAAUUAAAAUUUUAUUAUUUAUUCACUAAUAAUUUUAAAAAAUUAAAUUAAAUUAAAAAUUAAAAUGGAGAAAUGAGGAGGGGAUGAGGAUUCCACUUCAUCCCGUCCAUUUCCUGAAUAAGAAAUUAGGUAAAAAAUCAUUCUUGUCCAUUUCCUAAAUAAAAAAAUUGGGUAUAAAAUGGUUUGCAUAUCUUUUCCAAAUGGGAAAAUCCCCAAGGGUCGCCGUCCCCUUGGGGAUUUUUGCCAUCCCUAGUUAAUUGUACGUUUCUGUAAACUUCCUAGUUGAUUGUCUACUCAGUAAACUUUAGUUGUAAUUGACUUUGAUUAUUUUGUAAAUAAUAUUCAAUAAACAAAUGGCGAGAGAAUCAAUAUUUUCUUAAAGAAGAUCCCAAAAAGAAAUAUAAUGAAUCUAAAGGUAAGAUGAUCAAAACUUUGACAAGAUCACAAUGAGAAAUAAAUGAAUUUUUGCAUUGAAAUCUAGUAUCAUCUAUGAUAAUGAUUUUUAGUAGAUGAUAAUGAAGAGAGCUUAUUAAAUGAUAAUUAUCAAAAGUGGGGGCGCGGCUACAGUACAUGCAUGUAUCUCAUACAUGCAUAAAAAAAUAGCCAUUGGAUUAAAUUGGAGUAGAUCGAAUGACUGAGAUUUUUUAUUGUUAUUAAAUAUGAAAGAAAUGGAAACCUCAAAAAUCGGUAAACAUGAAACAUGAGACCAAUAAAUAUGAAACACCUACCAUUAACUUGAAACUGGAUCAUUAAACUUGAAACCAAAUGAACUUGAAACUAAGGGCAAUGAACUUGAAACCGAGGGCAAUGAACAUGAAUUUUAAGAUCCAACUUGAAACUAUAACCAUUAAACUAAAAUUCAAAGGAACUUGAAAUUUAGAGCAAUGAACAUGGAACUUGAGAUUAUUAACUUGCAACUCUGAAAAUCAUGCAAUUAAUGGACCAAUAAACAUGAAACACCUACCAUUAACUUGAAAUUGGGACCAUUAAAUUUGAAAUCAAAUGAACUUCAAACUGAGGGCAAUGAACAUGAAACUUAUGAUCAUUAACUUGCAACGCCAAUUAAUGGACCAAUAAACAUGAAACACCUACCAUUAACUUGAAAGUGGGACCAUGAAACUUAAAACCAAAUGAACUUCAAACUGAGGGCAAUGAACAUGAAACUUAGGAUCAUUAACUUGCAACCUUGAUUAAUGGACCAAUAAACAUGAAAUACCUACCAUUAACUUGAAACUGAGAUCAGUAAACUGGAAACCAAAUGAACUUCAAACUGAGGCAAUGAACUUGAAAUUGAUGGCAAUGAACAUGAAACUUAGGAUCAUUAACUUGAAACCCCGAUUAAUUGACCAAUAAAUAUGAAAUACCUACCAUUAACUUGAAACUAUAACCAUUAAACUAAAAUUCAAAGGAACUUGAAAUUUAGAGCAAUGAACAUGGAACUUGAGAUUAUUAACUUGCAACUCUGAAAAUCAUGCAAUUAAUGGAUCAAUAAACAUGAAACACCUACCAUUAACUUGAAAUUAAGACCAUUAAACUUGAAACCAAAGAAACUUGAAACUUAGAGCAAUGAACAUGGAACUUAGAAUAAUUAACUUGUAACCCCAAAAAUCAUGCAAUUAAUGGACCAAUAAACAUAAAACACCCACCAUUAAACUUGAAACUAAUUUUUAAUUAUUAUAAAACUAAUUGUUUAUUAUUAUGUUGCCUUUAUUAUUAAAAUAAUUAUUAUUUUAUUUAUUACAUUAUUUUAUAAUAUAAUAUUUAUUAAGGAGCAAUGCUCCAAGGUUUUUUUUUAUGUUUGGCUGCCAAGUGCCAGCCAAAGAAUGGCCAUAUUUUUUUAAUUUUUUUAUUACCCGCAUGUAUGUGAUACAUGUGGGUAUUGUAGCGUGGGAAUGCCUAAGUUACGAUCAAUGUAUCUUACGAUUUUUGUCUUUUUCUUCUUUGGCUAAUUUCUUUUGGGUCCUUUUAUUUUUUAACUUUUACAAUUGUGGAUGUAUUUGAUUUCUUCCAUCCCUUCUACACCUAUUUCUUAUUUUUUCUAAGAUUUUGUUUAUUUCCUUAAAUAACAUUAAAUGGUUAUCAAAUUCAUAUAAAUCUAUAAUUUCAGAGUAGAUUUUUGGUCCUAAAUUUAUUAUUCCUAUUCUUUCUUGUUCUAGUAAAUCUAUUUUCUGAUUUAUUAGAGUUAUAUAUGUAUUUAAUAUGUUUUCCCAUCCUAAAAUCAUAUGAUCUAUACAAUCUGCUAAUUCAUGUAUUAUAUUAAAUGCAUGUUGAUUAUGAUUCAUAAUGCUUCCUUCUUAUACCAAUAUACUAGAAAUUUUAUAAAUUCAUCUAUAAACUACAUUUUCUUUUCUAUUAAUAUUUCUCCUCCAGUUGUGUCUAUUUGCCUUUCUCUAAGUUCUUCUGUUAAUUCGAGUUCUAUAUUUCUUAUAUUAUUUUUAUCAGUUUUUAAAGCCAUUAUAAGGUUUUUUAUUUCUUCUUUGUUAUAUACUUUUAAAGUAUAUAUGCUGUUAACUAUUGUUUGUAUUGGAUCCAUCAAUUAGACUUAUAUGAAAUAAAAUAUUAUUAAAGUUUUAAUUCGUAAGAGUUAUGAUUCUAGUUAUGGCUCUGAUACCAUCGUGUUUCUGAUGAAACUAAGAUUUAAACAAAUUUAAACAAAACUAAGAUAAGAUUUAAACAAAUUUAAACAAAACUAAGAUUAACUAAGAUUUAAACUGAAUAUCAAAUUUAGACUGAGAAUUAAAAUUUAGAAUGACUGAGUAUUACAGAAAGAUAUAUUUCAUUUAUUAUGUGUAUGUCAAAACUUUCUAUAGUAUAUAUCUAUCAUAUCCCGUGUCACUAUUAUUUCUUAAAAAUAUGGCUAUAACUUGUUCUCCAUCAAUUGUUCUAGGGAAUGUAUUAGGAAGAGUAGGAACAUAUAAGUCAUAAUAAUUAUUAUCAGUUUCCAAAAUAUAUGUAGGAUUAAAACUUCCUGUUACAUUUUCUGAAUAAAAUAUUUCUACUUUUAUAAAAUAUAUAUUAUUGUUUAUUAUACUAGUGUAAUACCUGAUUUCAUUAUAAAUUUCCAUGAUUAUAGAUUGAUUAUAGGUACGUGGCUUGUUAUCCCAAAGUACAGAGGAUACUAACGCCCAGUCGGGAUCGUCUAUCCAAUUUACGUCAUGGGUUGCUUGCCUAUAUACCUUAUAAUCCUUAUAGUAUAUAUUUUAUAGUUCAAGUUCUUCAUUAUCUGAAUUUUCUAAGUAGUUUAUGUAUGAUGGUCCAAUUUCUCUACUUCCAUGUUUUACAUAUGCCAAGGCUAUGUCAAUUCCUUGUUCUACAGUUAACAUAAUUAUGUUAUGCUUUAAAGUGUCUAUUUCUAUAUGGUUUAUAAUUUUUCUUUUUAUUUCUUUUGGUAAUUCAAGCUUAUACACUGCUUGUAGUUCUCCUGUUCUAACAAGUUCGUCUUUAUUUAAAAGAUAAGAACUUUGUUUAAAUGAUCCUAAAUUAAAGUCUAUUAUUAUUGUAUAAUCAUUAUAUGUUAUCCUAGUUUUUGGGUUUACCAUAUAUUCUUUAGAAUUUCCUAAUAAGAUAUCGUUAUUCAUCAAAAUAUUUCACUUCAAAAAAUUAGCUCUUCCUCUAUAAAUCUCCUCAUCAACUAUCAUCAACAAACUUCCACCAACAGAUAAGGAUUAAGAAUUAGUACCUAAGUUAUUCUUGUUCCUUUACCUUAUGAUCUUUCUCCAGUGACCUGCAGCCUUGUUGUCCUUAUUCCCUCAAUGGCCUCCUUGCCUCAACGGGAUCAGCGGACUCGAGUGGCCUUACUGUAUGGAAUACGAUCGUAGUGCUUAGGAAUUUUGAAUAAAUUUAGGUUUCCCUUUCCUUUCUAUGGUGAUUUUUGUUUUUGAUUAGUGAUGUAUUGAUUUAGGAUUCUGAGCUAAAAAGAGGUUUUAGCUGAUCAUUUUAGAACGAAGAUGAUGGAAGAUAAUGGAGUUAUGGCUGAAUGAUAAGCUCUUAGAGCUUAUUGCUUUUAUUUAUAU
This 15448-nucleotide long non-coding RNA is filed under the name Citrus sinensis (sweet orange). RNAcentral's name for it is "long non-coding RNA (CSIN_LNC001750)". Lineage: Eukaryota; Viridiplantae; Streptophyta; Magnoliopsida; Sapindales; Rutaceae. The record is from RNAcentral.